AGAGUUUGAUCCUGGCUCAGGAUGAAUGCUGGCUGUAUGGAUAAGGCAUGCAAGUCGAAUGGGUUCAGGCCCAUGGCAGACGAGGUAGUAACACGUACGAACGUACCCUGAAGUCGGGCAUAUUCCGUCGAAAGACGGUGCAAUUCCCGAUAGUCUCGCAAGAGUAAAGAUUUAUCGCUUCAGGAGCGGCGUGCGUAAUA
Molecule: ribosomal RNA, 200 nt
Filed under: uncultured bacterium
Lineage: Bacteria
Description: partial 16S ribosomal RNA
Rfam family: Bacterial small subunit ribosomal RNA
Source: RNAcentral